Molecule: long non-coding RNA, 1212 nt
Organism: Agrilus planipennis (emerald ash borer)
Lineage: Eukaryota; Metazoa; Arthropoda; Insecta; Coleoptera; Buprestidae
Exons: 2
Source: RefSeq, a predicted model, not a curated record
UUGAACAGCGUCCUUAACCAAACUUUUUUGACAAUUGUCGUUAAUCAUAAAAACAACUAAACAACGCAUUUUAAAGAUUUUUAAGCAUUUUUAUCAUAUUGAAUCUGUUUAGUUUGAGUUUUACGUUCAAAUUAUAUAUUGUAGAGAUUUACAACGUUGGUGUCGUAGAGAAUACUGUGAACAAAGCUCUAGUAUCAAGUAUUGGUUUGUUACGUGAGAAUGGAACAAAAGGGAAAUAAACUUAAACGUUCCAUUAAUAAUUUAGAUCAAGGCGAUUCGGUAAUUAAGCGUCUUAAGAGGACAAAAGACCAUCAUUUGCAAGACAUCUCUUUAGAAUCUUCUGAUGAAAUAAUAGAAAAACUAACAAGCGUAGUGGAUCCUCUAAGAGAAAAUGAAGUUGAUGUGACAUAUCUUUCUUUAAAGAAGACCUGCGGUGAAGAAUCUCCAAGUAACAAUCAAUCGUACCAAUGUGGUGUGUGUAAUAGAAAGUUUUUAAAGAUGUCUAAUCUCAUGGACCAUAUGAACAUACACUUAGGAUAUAAAUGUAGGUAUUGUAGAGAAACAUUGAUAACAUCCACCCCUGUUUCUGAUCAUAUUGUACUUAAUGAGGAAGCAGCUUGUUUGUUAAAAAAGUGGAAAGAAAUGGAGAAACAUAGGUGUUUUGUUUAUAUCAAUGAAGUUAAUUUUGAUUAUUCGCAUGUACCUUAACUUUGAAGAAGGUAAUUUGAAAACAACAGAUAAAUAGAAUAUUUGUAUGAAUGCCACUAUAACUAUAUUAAUGUUGCAAAUAUCUUGAAUAUAUCUGUAACAAUUCAGCAUUUUUUAAAAAGCAAUCUGCUUCCAUAUUUGAUUAUAAAUGGUAAUUUGCUGCAAAAAAAAACUUUACUGUUUGGAGACAGAAACUAGGAUGUAAUUGUUUUAUACUUGCAAUGGUACUGUACUCUUUAUAAAAACUGAAGUUAAGGAAAUGGAAAAACAAAUACAUCAUUUACUAUUAAAUUCACUUAAACAAUUUAAAGCCUUUAAAAGAUUAUUAGUGUAACAGUAACAGUUUAUAACUUUUUGAGUUAACAAUUGGUAAUUAUUUAUAUAGGUGGAUGCCCUUCCCUUUUACUGUAAUUGAUUGGUAAUUUGCACCAAUUUGUUAUGUAUAUUGCAAAUUUGCAAGAAAAUGUGUAAUUAAACUAUUAAAUAAAUUCCUGUAUGAUUUAA